CCUACGGGGGGCAGCAGUGAGGAAUAUUGGUCAAUGGGCGAGAGUCUGAACCAGCCAAGUAGCGUGAAGGAUGACUGCCCUAUGGGUUGUAAACUUCUUUUAUAUGGGAAUAAAACGUUCCACGUGUGGGAUUUUGUAUGUACCAUAUGAAUAAGGAUCGGCUAACUCCGUGCCAGCAGCCGCGGUAAUACGGAGGAUCCGAGCGUUAUCCGGAUUUAUUGGGUUUAAAGGGAGCGUAGGUGGAUUGUUAAGUCAGUUGUGAAAGUUUGCGGCUCAACCGUAAAAUUGCAGUUGAAACUGGCAGUCUUGAGUACAGUAGAGGUAGGCGGAAUUCGUGGUGUAGCGGUGAAAUGCUUAGAUAUCACGAAGAACUCCGAUUGCGAAGGCAGUUCACUGGACUGCAACUGACACUGAGGCUCGAAAGUGUGGGUAUCAAACAGGAUUAGAUACCCUUGUAGUC
RNAcentral lists this ribosomal RNA (460 nucleotides) under uncultured bacterium. RNAcentral's name for it is "partial 16S ribosomal RNA". It matches the Rfam family "Bacterial small subunit ribosomal RNA", at positions 338 to 795 of the family's 1533-position model. The record is from RNAcentral.